UGGCGUACUGAAUGUCCAUUAUUUGUACGCAUUAAUUACACCUCCUUAGCGUAGCAACAGAUGACGAAACACGACGCAACAAUUAGUACAUCUACGAUAAUUAUUCGUCUGUUACGACACGAUUCAGAUGUAGGUCGGACAAGGAGAGACGAGAGACACGAAAGGAACCAACAAUAUGCUUGUAAACGGUAUCCAUGAUCCACAAGAUCAGCGCCAUCUGCCCUGCUAUGUUUUUUACAGUUAGGCUGUCCACAAUCCACAUCAACUUACAGUACGCCAGCCUUAGCAUGUGAUUAAGAUUUACAGCAGCAUUCCGAAUGAAGUGCACGGCAAACUUCAGCUGCAGUAGAGUGAAGGGAGACCGAACGGAGCCAAGUCUGCUAUGAAGAAGAAGAAGAAGAGUCCACUCCGAACGCAUCGACUAAAUAAUGAAGGAAAUAUGGGGUAUACCAUGGUUUAACUGCCUUGGUAAUGAAGUUACAAAAUCAGCAGCUGUAAUUCCUGUAAGUACUAUAAAUGUAUACAUAAUACAGUAGUAGCCUUGGCUUGUAUACUAAUUUUCUUGUUUGUUAUAGUUAAGGAAUACUCUUGAUGAUUUACUUGUAGAAAGCGACAUAUAUUGAAUACUACAACAGUGAUUGGAGGGAAUACGUUUACAACCAUGCUUGAAGUGCAA
Long non-coding RNA from Macrobrachium nipponense, 676 nucleotides. RefSeq lists it as uncharacterized. The record is from RefSeq and is a predicted model, not a curated record. Lineage: Eukaryota; Metazoa; Arthropoda; Malacostraca; Decapoda; Palaemonidae. The transcript has 3 exons.